GGAGAGAUGCCAGAGUGGUCGAAUGGGGCGGUCUCGAAAACCGUUGACCGGUCUCCCGGUCCGAGGGUUCGAAUCCCUCUCCCUCCG
Molecule: transfer RNA, 87 nt
Filed under: Bacteroidales bacterium
Lineage: Bacteria; Pseudomonadati; Bacteroidota; Bacteroidia; Bacteroidales
Description: tRNA-Ser
Rfam family: tRNA
About the family: Transfer RNA (tRNA) molecules are approximately 80 nucleotides in length.
Source: RNAcentral